Molecule: unclassified non-coding RNA, 338 nt
Filed under: Hevea brasiliensis (rubber tree)
Lineage: Eukaryota; Viridiplantae; Streptophyta; Magnoliopsida; Malpighiales; Euphorbiaceae
Source: RNAcentral
UCCGCCUCUGAUAACCUUUACCUCCAAUGCUUACAAGGACAACACUUUUGCAUUCCCCUGGCUCAAAUCGUAUAGCUGUUCCUGCUAGAAUGUUCAGGCGCAUGCCAUAUGCUUUCAUUCGAUCAAAACACAAGCAUGGGUUUGUNCUGCCCACCUGAAUUGGUCUGUCUCCACGGUUCACAACUUUGAGAAUCACUGCUUUCCUUCCAGGAUUAAGUGUAAUAUUUCCAUCUCCAAAGAUAAACACGCCCGGAAUUUCAUUUUCUUCUAUUCCAGGAAACUUGUCAAGUGAAGGAACUGGAAGAAAGGAACCAUGUAAAGCUAGCUCCAGAUUUCCA